CGCUCCACCCUGCUCUCCCUGAUUUUAUCAUUUCCCUGCUGCUGUGCAGAGUUUCUGUUCUUGGCACACAGCGACCUGCCUGACCUUGACUCCCAGGUAGCCCCGGCGCUCAGAUCCCUUCUCCAAACAUCCUCCCACUGAGGCCCCUCUCCCCUCACUCUCGUCCUUGUGACAUUUGCAAAGAGGGGCAAACGGAGCAAACCAAACAAACCCAGCAAAUACCGCUGGAAAAGGGGAACCAACGCGAUGUGCAGGGAAUAAAUAACCCGGCUACCUUGCGAGCCCUGUCCUUCCCCUGACCCCUCGUGCCGCACGUCUGCUCCGCGCUGCGGGCCGGCACGGGAUCCCCGCUCUUCCCCAAAUCCCCUGUGUACCUACGGAGCGAUAACCGAGCUCUGCUCCUCCCUAGGAAAACAACCGGAGCUUCCCAGAGGAGCUGUUUGCAGACAAUGCUGCAGAGCCGCUUCCCCGCACCGCUCCCUGUACCGAGCGAAUGUAAGGGCAGCCUCAAGCCCGAGGGCUGGGAUAAAAGUUGGAUUUCUCGCUCUCCAGAGAAUGCUGCAGGUGUGGACACACCUAUUGGCCCUCCCAGCCCCUCGGCCGGUCCCGCUUUGUGCGAAGAGAGAGAGUGUUGGUGUUUAUUGCCUUUUUCCCCAGCUGCACACUGGCACGGACUUUGCUCCUCUGGGCUGGGAUUUCUAAGCAGCGGGAGGCUUUCCACGUGUGUUUGAGAAGGUCCCCAAGCACAGGCUCGCCUCCAUCUCCACAGGACUGGAUCCCCUCCAGGACAGGCUCCUCUCAGCCCCGCCAAUACCUGGAUCCCCUCAGAACCCUCUGGGACAAGCUCCCCUCAGACCCCCCAAACACGGGAUCCCCAAGACCGGAUCCCUUCAGCUUCCUCUGGCCAAGCCCCCUCCAGCCCCUCCUCAGCGGGCGCAGCCAGGGUGGGGAGGGCUGGGAUGCAGCAGCCUCCAUUCCCCCGUCCAUCCCUCCCUCCCUGCCUGCCUGCCUGCUGCGUGCUGCAGCCCGCCUUCCCCCCGGCCUGCCGCGCUCCCCCCGCUCGCCGCCCGCGGUGAUCCGCGCUGAGCUCACGGCCGCGCCUCACGACACCCCGGCUCGGCACGUCAGCCCCGCCAUCGCGUGAGAGCCGCCGCCCGCCGCCGCCCCCCCGCCCGCCGCCAUCACGCACGGCGGGAACAGCUGCCGGCACGGCGCGGCCAGACCCCGCUCCCAGACCCCGCUCCCAGCCAAGGCGGGCUCUCGCCAGCUCCUAUUAAUGCAGACCUUAAUUAAUGACCCC
This 1300-nucleotide long non-coding RNA is filed under the name Junco hyemalis (dark-eyed junco). RNAcentral's name for it is "lncRNA (ENSJHYG00000003693.1)". The record is from RNAcentral. Lineage: Eukaryota; Metazoa; Chordata; Aves; Passeriformes; Passerellidae.